GCAAACUCAAGAGCUUUCACUCCACACUUGCCCACACGUUUUUGCCUCCAAGCUUCCAAGCUUUCAAGUGCUCAAGUGUCCUAGCUUUCCAAAGCUUCAAAAGCUCUCCAACUUCUUCUUCUAAUCUUCUUGUUCAUCUUUACAAGUAAAAAGUGUUGUUUGCUUUAAUAUUCCACUCCUCUAAUCACCUCUUGUGUGUGUCCACUUUGGUUGAGAGAGUUGUCUCAAUAGUACCAAAGUGUGAGAGAAGGUUUUUGAGCUCAACCAUAAAGCUCUAGGUCGAGUCUACCUUGAAAGAUUUCAGAGGUUUUUAAGAGUUCCUUGAUACUCUAAGGUACUAACUUACCCGUAAAAGUUAGAGGUUCUUAAGAGUGCCCUUGAUACUCUAAGGUGUGAGUCUACCCGUAAAAGACUGGUUCCUAAGCGAAGUAGCCUUAAAGCUUAGAGAGGUUUUUAAGAGUUCCUUGAUACUCUAAGGUACUAACUUACCCGCAAAAGUUAAAGGUUCUUAAGAGUGCCCUUGAUACUCUAAGGUGUGAGUCUACCUGUAAAAGACUGGUUCCUAAGCGAAGUAGCCUUAAAGCUUAGAGAGGUUUUUAAGAGUUCCUUGAUACUCUAAGGUACUAACUUACCCGCAAAAGUUAAAGGUUCUUAAGAGUGCCCUUGAUACUCUAAGGUGUGAGUCUACCUGUAAAAGACUGGUUCCUAAGCGAAGUAGCCUUAAAGCUUAGAGAGGUUUUUAAGAGUUUCCUUGAUACUCUAAGGUUUUGCCAUAACCUUUAGGCGAGUGAAUUCCAACAGUUGGUCGGGACUGGACUAGCCCUUGUUUGGGUGAACCAGUAUAAAUCUUUUGUGUUGUUCUUUGUUAACUCUAGUUUUUAUCUUUCAUCUAAAAACAACUAAACAACACUUAAUUGGAAAGGAUCCCUCUUCCAGUUAUCUGGUCAAAUACAGAGGUUACUACUUUACGCAGAUCCCUCAUCCAGUUAUCUGGUCAACUAUCUGAGGUUAUAUUAAUUGCUUUAAAUCCUUAUUCAUAUAUUUGUUCAAGCAUUUACUUAUCAUAUAUAUAUCCAGUUAUCUGGUCAUUUACUUGCUUAUCAAUAUAUCCAGUUAUCUGAUCAUUUACUCUAUAAUAUAACUUGUGUUUAUAAUUUAACUUAGUAUUCAUAUACUAUAGUUGUUUAUAAAACACCAUCUGAAAAGUUGACUACGUAUUCAUAUACUGUAGUAAACUUCAAGAGCAAAAGGCAAGUCCAAUAUAUAUAAUAUUAUAAGAUAUAAUAUUAUAUUCUUUAAAAUCAUAUAAUAGUAUUAUAUUGCUAACAAUAUUAUACUAUUAUUAUUAUACAACCAUUUGUGUACUUAAGUGUGUGCAGGUAAUUCCGCUAUUAACUUGCAUAAAUCGAAAAGAGGCUAUUAUCCCUUCUUAUAGCUUCGGAUCUCGAUCCAACAAGUGGUAUCAGAGCCAUGUACCGUUGAAGUUUGACUAACAUCUUACAACAACAACUAUGGCACCAAAUGGUGAAUUCAACACUGGUCUUGCGUCAAACAAACCUCCCAGGUUCGAUGGAGUAAAGUAUGACUUCUGGAAGAACAAGAUGAAGUUAUACUUGAAGUCAAUCAACAAUGGAGUAUGGAAGAUCAUAUUAGAGUGGCUAAAUUACGACUUGUGAAUCUAGUUUCGAGUCUUAGUUACAAUUUAAAAAAUAAAUUAAAUAAACAAUUAAUUAAGAAAGCAAAAUAAUUGAUUGAGUUCCAAAAAAUUACAAAAAUAUCAAAACAUUACAAGAGGGGGAGUAUCACGAGCUCUCCCGACACUUCUGUCGCUUCGGCCAGAAAUCGUCAAAACCCUCACAGUUACCCAAAACUUAGGAGUCGACGAUUGGGAUACCUAGUCGCCGACUCAGGGUAAAACAACAUCACAUUUCCAGGAGGGAGUAUCACAAGCUCUCUCCAACACUUCUGUCGCUUCGGCCAGAAGUCGUCACGUUUCAAGAGAGAGUAUCACAAGCUCUCUCCGACACUUUUGUCGCUUCGGCCAGAAGUCGUCACGUUUCAAGAGAGAGUAUCACAAGCUCUCUCCGGCAUCAGGGUUCAAACUUAAGUUGUAAUUGGAAAUUACAAACGUAACCCUCGAGUUUGAAAAUUUUGCAUCCUUCGUAUUUUUCAUUCGCGCUAUCUUUUACAACUCUACAUUAAUCUGGAGGUAUAAAUUAUCCGCAAAUUUAACCGUAGGCUGAGCUACGAUUCGUACGACCAAGUCUACGCCCAGAGUGACUAACAAUAGGGUUAGCAGAGUCUAAUUUACGUCCAGAGUGGCUAAAUUACGACUUGUGAAUCUAGUUUCGGUCCUUAGUUACAAUUUAAAAGGUAAUUUAUAUGAAAGAUUAGCAAUAAAAAUAAAAUAAAAGAUAGUCCAUUAACAAUCAC
Molecule: long non-coding RNA, 2433 nt
Filed under: Zostera marina
Lineage: Eukaryota; Viridiplantae; Streptophyta; Magnoliopsida; Alismatales; Zosteraceae
Description: long non-coding RNA (ZMAR_LNC004947)
Source: RNAcentral